CCCUGCUGGAGCUGCUGUGGGGAAGCGGGCAAUGGGGCUGUUUGUGGUCGGUUUUACUGGGGGUCGAAGGCGUUUGUUGUGCGCUCCUGUGGGGCUUAUCCGAAGGUGCCCCACACUUAAGUUUAGUAUUAGAGCUCCCAAACGUGGUUUUCUGAGCCCAGCAACCGCAGCGCUGGGGUGCAGCGAGGGGGCAUCGCAUCCUAAAGGGCGCGGGGUGACUCCUUGACCCGGUUUGCAUGGCACUGGUCGUGUGCCACAAUGGCUCCCCAGUGCCCGGGGUGCAGGGCCACCCUCACGGAGUUGCCCACGGGGAAGCCUCUCACCCAGGCAGGUUUGGGUGUGUCUCCCUAUGGGUUUCAGCUGUAGCCAGGGAAGGCUUCUCUGCCUCUGCUGCCUCAGGGGCCGUGCUCGCUAUGCUGGCAGAGUCCCUGCUGCCAGGCUUUGUCAGGAGCCAUUGCUCUGCACCAGCAUGGAGCCUGUUAUCUGCAUGGAAGAUUCUCACUGUAAGGGCAGGGCAGUGGUGCACCUGCCCCGAGGAGCCAUAGGGGCUUGUGGAACUUGUUUGCCACCAUGGCAGCAUUAUCACCAGGACACACAAGCAUUCAGAAACUAAAUGUGGCCCUAGAUUCACUGUCCUUUAGCAUGUGGGGGCAUUGCUUCCACUCACUCUGUUACCUCUUCCCAUGCACUAGGCCUGAAAUUCAUGCUUUAUUCCUUAAAUCUUCACUGCUAAACUUGAGGUUGGUUUUAUACUCUGGUAAAGUAACUCACAUGAUUAGAGCUUGGCUCACUUUGUAUUUCAGCAGCCGAAGCUGGACUUUCCUACUGACAUGGCAUGAAACUAAAGAUUUAUUCUUGUACCAAGGCAGAGGCAGCUAUAGCUUCCCAGUACUUCCAAAGAGAAUACUCUGAAUUAUUCUAACCUAAGGUGUGGUUCUGUGUCAGCUGCUCUCAGUGUCACAAAAGUGACAGACUUGGAGAGAGAUACAAUCUUCGUUUUCUUUUUGGUAAAGUGCAGCACUGCAGAUCCCAACUCAAAGGAAAUGGCAAAAUGCAGCAGGAUUACUGAACCAUGUCUGCCUACAUGAAACAAGCUCUCCAGAGGUAGAGUUUAACUCCAUCUCCGACUUCAGAAAGACAGUGUUUUUUCUUUUUUAUUCUUAAGAUUAGGCUUUACAAGCAGGGAAUUGGCACAGUUUCUGAGGCAGCAGCUUCCUGCCCUUCUUCAUCCACUGGAACACACACCCUUGGGCAUGGGGAAGCUAUCAAAUUAGCUUUGCCACUAGAAGAUCUGUGAAACCACCUGUCAGCUUUUAUGAAAAUAAUAAAUCUCACUCAAAACAUUA
Molecule: long non-coding RNA, 1346 nt
Organism: Vidua macroura (Pin-tailed whydah)
Lineage: Eukaryota; Metazoa; Chordata; Aves; Passeriformes; Viduidae
Exons: 2
Source: RefSeq, a predicted model, not a curated record